This 497-nucleotide ribosomal RNA is filed under the name uncultured bacterium. RNAcentral describes it as "partial 16S ribosomal RNA". It matches the Rfam family "Bacterial small subunit ribosomal RNA", at positions 28 to 507 of the family's 1533-position model. The record is from RNAcentral.
GAUGAACGCUGGCGGCGUGCCUAAUACAUGCAAGUCGAGCGAACAGAUAAGGAGCUUGCUCCUUUGACGUUAGCGGCGGACGGGUGAGUAACACGUGGAUAACCUACCUAUAAGACUGGGAUAACUUCGGGAAACCGGAGCUAAUACCUGAUAACAUAUUGAACCGCAUGGUUCAAUAGUGAAAGGCGGCUUUGCUGUCACUUAUAGAUGGAUCCGCGCCGUAUUAGCUAGUUGGUAAGGUAACGGCUUACCAAGGCAACGAUACGUAGCCGACCUGAGAGGGUGACCGGCCACACUGGAGCUGAGACACGGUCCAGACUCCUCAGGGAGGCAGCAGUAGGGAAGCGUCAGCGAUGGGCGAAAGCCUGACGGAGCAGCGCCGCGUGAGUGAUGAAGGUCUUCGGAUAGUAACACCCUGUUAUCAGGGAAGAACAAAUGUGUAAGGAGCUGUGCACAUCUUGACGGUACCUUAUCAGAAAACCACGGCUAACUACGUG